This 297-nucleotide ribosomal RNA is filed under the name uncultured bacterium. RNAcentral's name for it is "partial 16S ribosomal RNA". It matches the Rfam family "Bacterial small subunit ribosomal RNA", at positions 28 to 334 of the family's 1533-position model. The record is from RNAcentral.
GAUGAACGCUGGCGGCGUGCCUAACACAUGCAAGUCGAGCGAUUCUCUUCGGAGAAGAGCGGCGGACGGGUGAGUAACGCGUGGGUAACCUGCCUCAUACACAUGGAUAACAUACCGAAAGGUAUGCUAAUACAGGAUAACAUAAGAGAUUCGCAUGUUUCUCUUAUCAAAGCUCCGGCGGUAUGAGAUGGACCCGCGUCGCAUUAGCUAGUUGGUGAGGUAACGGCUCACCAAGGCGACGAUGCGUAGCCGACCUGAGAGGGUGAUCGGCCACACUGGGACUGAGACACGGCCCAG